AUCGCUUCUCGGCCUUUUGGCUAAAAUCAAGUGUAGUAUUUGUAAAUUCAGGAAAACAAUUUUUUCUUUUAAAUAGGGAUUGAAUUAAAAUGAUGAGUCUUGGAUUUGGCUACUGCUUUGUAUUUUGAUAUAUGUAAAUACUAUGGUUCUAUUACACUCUAGAUCAGGGGUGUCAAACUC
This 180-nucleotide small nuclear RNA is filed under the name Naja naja (Indian cobra). RNAcentral's name for it is "U2 spliceosomal RNA (ENSNNAG00000002404.1)". It matches the Rfam family "U2 spliceosomal RNA". Rfam says of the family: U2 is a small nuclear RNA (snRNA) component of the spliceosome (involved in pre-mRNA splicing). Complementary binding between U2 snRNA (in an area lying towards the 5' end but 3' to hairpin I) and the branchpoint sequence (BPS) of the intron results the bulging out of an unpaired adenosine, on the BPS, which initiates a nucleophilic attack at the intronic 5' splice site, thus starting the first of two transesterification reactions that mediate splicing. The record is from Rfam by way of RNAcentral. Lineage: Eukaryota; Metazoa; Chordata; Lepidosauria; Squamata; Elapidae.